CAGCAGAUGGAGGAAGAACUUGUGAUGGAUACAGACACUCAGCACCAGCAUUGUUAAUGAGCCAGAAGUCUGGGCUUUGUGUCUGUGUACACCUCCAGGACCCAGGUGACAAUCUGGAAGCUGUACUCUGGCUUCCCAUCCUGUCCCCAUUGAAGCAGUUGGCCAAGAUGUCCCACCAGCAGCUGGGGAGGAGGGCUGUGUACCAGGAAGCUGACAGCACAGGCACUGAAUCUUCUGCUUUGGACCUUCCUUCUCACAGAACCUUCCAAAAGAGCAGGUCUGGAGACUUGCUAAAUUGGCAAGUCCUGGCAAUACUGGCAGGGAGUGAAGAGAGAAAUGUGAUCCCAGCAAUUCCAUCAGGAGUGAACAGAAGGCUUCCUCACAGCUGGAAGUAAUGUCUGAGUAAUCUUUCAAUUUAAACAGUACUUUUCAUGGGGAACCCACACACUCUGAAAUAAGAAUUAGGGUACAUUUCUGAGAAGGGAUCUGAGGAGAUGUAAAGUGGCUGAGAGGUUGGGAUUGUUGGGACUGUGUUGGGGGCUGGAAUAUAGUUGAAACCAGAGGUGCAUGUGUGUGUGAGUGUAUGUGUGUGCGUGUGUGUGUGCAUGGGUGCAGUGUCAAAGGAUAUUAUCCUUCCUAUUUUGCAGAUAAAUAAAUUAAGGCUAAAAGCCACUCACUUAACUUGAUGAAGCAUUGAACUAAAUGGGGAAAUGUUUUCCCCUGAGCAUCAUCUCUGCUGCAGUAAUGUCUUGUCUUCCCAGACCCACUGCAAAGCUUCUUGGGUCCAUACAACUUGUCAUUUGAGCUGCGUCUACAUAUGACAGUGACCUGUUCUCAUCACACCUCAGAAACCCUCCUAGGUAUGAGCCAGCAUUAUGAACUUCUUCUGAAAGAGCACUCACCUUGUUAUGAUGAAGUUUGUUUCCCUGCUGGACCCCAGCUCUGAACUGGGAGCUGCAUGCAUAUUUGUUUCAUGUUUAGACCCCGGGAUCUGGAACAAUCACAUUUUCACACCCUUGCUCUGUAUUUGAGAACCACUUUUCCCAUUCCCCACCCACAUCAGACCCAUUCCUCCGCUGGCCCACUCACAGUCCUACUUGGAAGCUUGUCUCAAUGGCCCAUCCUUCCUGGAUGUGGUGGCCCUGCCCAGGGACCCCAGAUAGCUGGACUUUCUCAUUCUGGUGGCAGCUUCCAGCUCGCACACACACCUCCCAGUGCUGGGCUAUGUUCUCCAGGAGGCCAGAGGCCCCAGUGCUCUGUCAGUGUUAGCUGAGUAGAUAAACAAAUGAUUCACCACUGUGUAGCCAUGAAUUCUUGGCAAGUCUUCCCACAUAAUAAGUUAAAUAUAUACAUUUUAAUAUGAGCUCCUUAAACAUUCAUUCACAUCCAACACAUUUAUACUGGGCUGACUUGUUCUGAACUCUGGUUGUUUCAAAUGCAAAAGAAAAGGAAACUAGUUUCAGCAUUGAGUAAAAAUUGCCUUACAGAUAUUAUCUAGAGAAUUUCUGAGGACAUGGAGAUGAGCAGGACUUAAAUACAGAGCAUUCCUUUCCUGUGCUCAUGAGAAGCAUCAAGUUUCAGGGCAUUAGCAGCUGCAAGUGUGAAAGAGUGUUAAAUCACUUAAUAGUUUGUUAUAUAUAUAAGUUGUUAAAAGCCAAUUAUGUGAAAAAAAGUCUACAUAUUUGAAUAAAAUUGAAUCCAUGAGCGCAAAAAAGCUAUUCUUUUCUUCUGGUAACUGACAUCCAGGAAAUCUAGGUUAUCAUCUCUGUGGCCUCUAUGAUCAGAAUGUGUUUCAUUCUGAUGUCCUUCCUUCCUUUAAUCAUUCAGUAACUCAUCCUGGUCCCUGUGCUGUGGGCUGAGGAGCCCAUGAAGCCAUCUUUUUGCUUCCCCUGGGGAAGACAUAAUAUUAAACAAAUAAGCUCACACAUCAGUUCAGAAAUUACACAUGAUGAUAAGUGCUCUGGCUGAGAAACAGUGGGUGACCCAUUUAAAUCAGGUGGUCCAGAAAAUGACACGCUAGAAAGAGAUCAUUGUCUGGACUCUUCAUUUUGUAGCUGGCAGGUGGAGGCCAGAUGGCUUAUGACUCAUGGUGAAGGCCAGUAAAAAAUGCGGGUGGAAUCUGUUUCCUUUCCCAAACACACAUCUGCACUAGAUAGCUGUGGGCAAGGCAUAGUUUUACCUUGCUUCUCUGGUUCACAUUCACAAAGAUGGAAUGAAUCUAGAUUACUGCUCAGGUCUUUCUACCCUUGAAUAGUCUGUGAACUUACUUUCUUAAAAUUACUCAAAUGGACACCCUUUGAAUGUUUUUCUUUUUUCCAAUGCCAUUGGGGACAUUCUUUUCAUCCUUUUAAUCUAUGUGAGC
This 2362-nucleotide long non-coding RNA is filed under the name Fukomys damarensis (Damara mole-rat). RNAcentral describes it as "lncRNA (ENSFDAG00000028318.1)". The record is from RNAcentral. Lineage: Eukaryota; Metazoa; Chordata; Mammalia; Rodentia; Bathyergidae.